CUCUGUAUACAGGGAGAUCAAUGGUGCCAAGUCACGCGUCAGGCGUCUGUUCUGGCGGUGGCGCUCAUGGGUGGAACAUUGACAUUGAUGCCGGCUGAUGUGUCGGGCUGCUAGUACGCCUCCUUGUGGGGUGGGAACGUGGUCUGGUGUGUCGAGGGCAUGUUGCACGCUGUUGGGUCCUGAGGGACCGGGCCGCACCUUUCGGGUGUGUCUGGUUUCUUGUCGGACCCUUUCCGUCGUCCUGUUGUGGAUGGUGGUGGGGUACCGCCCGUAUAUUGAGAACUACACAGUGGACGCGAGCAUCUUAGAUUCACCGGUUUACCGGUGGAUCACAAAGAUCUAUUUAUAGAUCAUUGGUCAAUUCUGUCUCCUCUAGGGGAGGCGAAACGAUUCAAUCUCAUGUGAUUUCAAGAUUCUAAGAGCAAACGGUGGAUGCCUUGGCAUCUGGAGCCGAAGAAGGACGUAUAAAUCUGCGAUAAGCCUCGGGGAGCUGAUAAUAGAGCU
RNAcentral lists this unclassified non-coding RNA (504 nucleotides) under Clavibacter michiganensis subsp. michiganensis. RNAcentral describes it as "partial contains 16S-23S ribosomal RNA intergenic spacer and 23S ribosomal RNA". The stretch from base 406 to 504 matches the Rfam family "Bacterial large subunit ribosomal RNA", at positions 1 to 98 of the family's 2925-position model. The record is from RNAcentral. Lineage: Bacteria; Bacillati; Actinomycetota; Actinomycetes; Micrococcales; Microbacteriaceae.